GAGGAGCUUAUGCCACUCGACAGGUUGGAGAAGAGCGUAAGCCACUCGACGAGGAAGGAUAAGAAUAUGAGUCCUCCUUAAUGAAAAAAGCAUCAAGUUGACGUUAGAGAAUAGAUCUUUGAAGAAAAAUGAAAUAGAAAGCCGAGCGAGUUAGACUAACAAGCUCUUUAUGUAUCGUAGGAAUCAUUAGAACCGCUGGCCCUAAGACCCUCAAGACACGAGCUCCACAAUGGAAGUAGGAGCAUCAACCAUUUGUCGAAUCGAAAGCUUCGCCUACGACGGAACUCAGCGCUUGUCUUACUUUUUUGGAUCUAAAACCAUACUCCAACCCUGCAACAAAUGAGCGGCAUAUGAACGGAACGAGACCCUACGAAGAGACUAAGAUCGGGGAGAAAAAAGCCCUUUAUUACUAUCCAUUCAUUUUAUGAUUUGGAAUAGUUUGUGGAUUCUGCAGGUGAAGAUUCGGCGUCGGCCUAGGCUUCUUUAUACCUUGGAUUUGGUACGAGAGCCUAUGCUUUAGGAACAGGCUCAGGCCACAACGCUUAAGGUGGAAAGAAAGAAUCCUACUCACUUUGUAACACAGACUCAAAUGGGAAAACUAAUCAGAAACUUCCACUGCGGAAUGACCCGGAUCAAGGGUAUUCUUAUUGUAGUUAUAGAACCCAUAUUGGCUUGGCUACUUGAAUCAUUUAUUCCCCUCUUUUAUAGCUGAUGAUUUGGCUGAAGCUUUGGAUUCUGUACUUUAUAUUAGGGUAGGGGGAAACAUGAGCUUUUGGUUUUGAUGCUCCAGUGGUGAGUGUAAACCCACCGAAGCGAGUGUGACAAACCCAGUUUUGACUUUCGGGGAAGUGCUCCAAUGUUUAAAGCGGAAGACGAAUCAGAGAGAAAUGGGUAUAUAUCUNNNNNNN
RNAcentral lists this long non-coding RNA (908 nucleotides) under Musa acuminata (dwarf banana). RNAcentral describes it as "long non-coding RNA (MACU_LNC009660)". Lineage: Eukaryota; Viridiplantae; Streptophyta; Magnoliopsida; Zingiberales; Musaceae. The record is from RNAcentral.